UUAAUUGAAGCCAAAGUAUGAGGCGUAUCACUGUUAAUGAUAAAAGUGAAUAUAAAUUCCAAUUAAG
This 67-nucleotide transfer RNA is filed under the name Neoperlops gressitti. Its description in RNAcentral is "tRNA-Asn". The record is from RNAcentral. Lineage: Eukaryota; Metazoa; Arthropoda; Insecta; Plecoptera; Perlidae.